GAUGAACGCUGGCGGCGUGCCUAAUACAUGCAAGUCGAGCGAACAGGUAAGGAGCUUGCUCCUUUGACGUUAGCGGCGGACGGGUGAGUAACACGUGGGUAACCUACCUAUAAGACUGGAAUAACUCCGGGAAACCGGGGCUAAUGCCGGAUAACAUUUAGCACCGCAUGGUUCUAAAGUGAAAGAUGGUUUUGCUAUCACUUAUAGAUGGACCCGCGCCGUAUUAGCUAGUUGGUAAGGUAACGGCUUACUAAGGCAACGAUACGUAUCCGACCUGAGAGAGGGAUCGCCCACAUUGGAACGUGGACACGCUCCAGACUCCUACGGUAGGCAGCAGUAGGGAAUCUGCCGCAGUGGGGGAAAGCCUGACGGAGCAACGCCGCGUGAGUGAUGAAGGUCUUCGGAUCGUAAAACUGUGUUAUUAGGUAAGAACAAAUGUGUAAGUAACUGUGCACGUCUUGACGGUACCUAAUCAGAAAGCCACGGCUAACUACGUG
RNAcentral lists this ribosomal RNA (497 nucleotides) under uncultured bacterium. RNAcentral describes it as "partial 16S ribosomal RNA". It matches the Rfam family "Bacterial small subunit ribosomal RNA", at positions 28 to 507 of the family's 1533-position model. The record is from RNAcentral.